UGCUUGCACUGGGUGGAUGAGUGGCGAACGGGUGAGUAAUACGUGAGUAACCUGCCCUUGACUCUGGGAUAAGCCUGGGAAACUGGGUCUAAUACUGGAUACGACGGCGCAUCGCAUGGUGUGUUGUGGAAAGGGUUUUACUGGUUUUGGAUGGGCUCACGGCCUAUCAGCUUGUUGGUGGGGUAAUGGCUCACCAAGGCGACGACGGGUAGCCGGCCUGAGAGGGUGACCGGCCACACUGGGACUGAGACACGGCCCAGACUCCUACGGGAGGCAGCAGUGGGGAAUAUUGCACAAUGGGCGGAAGCCUGAUGCAGCGACGCCGCGUGAGGGAUGACGGCCUUCGGGUUGUAAACCUCUUUCAGCACGGAAGAAGCGAGAGUGACGGUACGUGCAGAAGAAGCGCCGGCUAACUACGUGCCAGCAGCCGCGGUAAUACGUAGGGCGCAAGCGUUGUCCGGAAUUAUUGGGCGUAAAGAGCUCGUAGGCGGUUUGUCGCG
Molecule: ribosomal RNA, 500 nt
Filed under: Kocuria sp. BACT-14
Lineage: Bacteria; Bacillati; Actinomycetota; Actinomycetes; Micrococcales; Micrococcaceae
Description: bacterial SSU rRNA
Rfam family: Bacterial small subunit ribosomal RNA
Source: RNAcentral